UCCCGGGGCUUAACCCCGGAAGUGCAUAUGAAACUAUAAAGCUUGAGUAUGGGAGAGGGAAGCGGAAUUCCUGGUGUAGCGGUGAAAUGCGUAGAUAUCAGGAGGAACACCGGUGGCGAAGGCGGCUUCCUGGACCAAUACUGACGCUGAGGCGCGAAGGCGUGGGGAGCGAACAGGAUUAGAUACCCUGGUAGUCCACGCAGUGAACGUUGAUCACUAGGUGUGGCGGGUAUUGACCCCUGCUGUGCCGGAGUUAACGCAUUAAGUGAUCCGCCUGGGGAGUACGAUCGCAAGAUUAAAACUCAAAGGAAUUGACGGGGGCCCGCACAAGCGGUGGAGCAUGUGGUUUAAUUCGACGCAACGCGAAGAAUCUUACCUGGACUUGACAUCCC
Molecule: ribosomal RNA, 392 nt
Filed under: uncultured delta proteobacterium
Lineage: Bacteria; Deltaproteobacteria
Description: bacterial SSU rRNA
Rfam family: Bacterial small subunit ribosomal RNA
Source: RNAcentral